GUGUCAGCCGCCGCGGUAAUACGGAGGGGGCGAGCGUUAUUCGGAAUUAUUGGGCGUAAAGGGCGCGUAGGCGGCUUGGCAAGUCAAAGGUGAAAUCCCUCGGCUCAACUGAGGAACUGCCUUUGAAACUGCCUGGCUUGAGGCCGGGAGGGGGUAGCGGAAUUCCCAGUGUAGCGGUGAAAUGCGUAGAUAUUGGGAGGAACACCAGUGGCGAAGGCGGCUACCUGGACCGGUUCUGACGCUGAUGCGCGAAAGCGUGGGUAGCAAACAGGAUUAGAAACCCCAGUAGUCC
This 292-nucleotide ribosomal RNA is filed under the name uncultured bacterium. Its description in RNAcentral is "partial 16S ribosomal RNA". It matches the Rfam family "Bacterial small subunit ribosomal RNA", at positions 505 to 796 of the family's 1533-position model. The record is from RNAcentral.